GAUGAACGCUGGCGGCGUGCCUAAUACAUGCAAGUCGAGCGAACAGACGAGGAGCUUGCUCCUCUGACGUUAGCGGCGGACGGGUGAGUAACACGUGGAUAACCUACCUAUAAGACUGGGAUAACUUCGGGAAACCGGAGCUAAUACCGGAUAAUAUAUUGAACCGCAUGGUUCAAUAGUGAAAGACGGUUUUGCUGUCACUUAUAGAUGGAUCCGCGCCGCAUUAGCUAGUUGGUAAGGUAACGGCUUACCAAGGCGACGAUGCGUAGCCGACCGGAGAGGGUGAUCGGCCACACGGGAACUGAGACACGGUCCAGACUCCUACGGGAGGCAGCAGUAGGGAAUCUUCCGCAAUGGGCGAAAGCCUGACGGAGCAACGCCGCGUGAGUGAUGAAGGUCUUCGGAUCGUAAAACUCUGUUAUUAGGGAAGAACAAAUGUGUAAGUAACUAUGCACGUCUUGACGGUACCUAAUCAGAAAGCCACGGCUAACUACGUG
RNAcentral lists this ribosomal RNA (497 nucleotides) under uncultured bacterium. RNAcentral describes it as "partial 16S ribosomal RNA". It matches the Rfam family "Bacterial small subunit ribosomal RNA", at positions 28 to 507 of the family's 1533-position model. The record is from RNAcentral.